CAGGAACCUAUCAAACAAUCAACUGACAGGUCCCAUACCAGAAAGUUUUGCUCAUCUGACCAAACUAAAGUCAUUGGAUUUGUCAAGAAACAAUCUAACUGGGCUGGUUCCAAGCACAUUAAUAGAUAAAAACGACAGUGGUGUACUUCUAUUAAGCAUUUUCCAAAAUCCCAGCCUU
Long non-coding RNA from Amborella trichopoda, 178 nucleotides. RefSeq lists it as uncharacterized. NCBI's taxonomy places the organism in Eukaryota, Viridiplantae, Streptophyta, Magnoliopsida, Amborellales, Amborellaceae. The record is from RefSeq and is a predicted model, not a curated record.